This 1346-nucleotide ribosomal RNA is filed under the name uncultured bacterium. RNAcentral describes it as "partial 16S ribosomal RNA". It matches the Rfam family "Bacterial small subunit ribosomal RNA", at positions 28 to 1381 of the family's 1533-position model. The record is from RNAcentral.
GACGAACGCUGGCGGCGUGCUUAACACAUGCAAGUCGAACGGAAAGGCCCUGCUUUUGUGGGGUGCUCGAGUGGCGAACGGGUGAGUAACACGUGAGUAACCUGCCCUUGACUUUGGGAUAACUUCAGGAAACUGGGGCUAAUACCGGAUAGGAGCUCCUGCUGCAUGGUGGGGGUUGGAAAGUUCCGGCGGUUGGGGAUGGACUCGCGGCUUAUCAGCUUGUUGGUGGGGUAGUGGCUUACCAAGGCUUUGACGGGUAGCCGGCCUGAGAGGGUGACCGGCCACAUUGGGACUGAGAUACGGCCCAGACUCCUACGGGAGGCAGCAGUGGGGAAUAUUGCACAAUGGGCGGAAGCCUGAUGCAGCAACGCCGCGUGCGGGAUGACGGCCUUCGGGUUGUAAACCGCUUUCGCCUGUGACGAAGCGUGAGUGACGGUAAUGGGUAAAGAAGCACCGGCUAACUACGUGCCAGCAGCCGCGGUGAUACGUAGGGUGCGAGCGUUGUCCGGAUUUAUUGGGCGUAAAGGGCUCGUAGGUGGUUGAUCGCGUCGGAAGUGUAAUCUUGGGGCUUAACCCUGAGCGUGCUUUCGAUACGGGUUGACUUGAGGAAGGUAGGGGAGAAUGGAAUUCCUGGUGGAGCGGUGGAAUGCGCAGAUAUCAGGAGGAACACCAGUGGCGAAGGCGGUUCUCUGGGCCUUUCCUGACGCUGAGGAGCGAAAGCGUGGGGAGCGAACAGGCUUAGAUACCCUGGUAGUCCACGCUGUAAACGGUGGGUACUAGGUGUGGGGUCCAUUCCACGGGUUCCGUGCCGUAGCUAACGCUUUAAGUACCCCGCCUGGGGAGUACGGCCGCAAGGUUAAAACUCAAAGGAAUUGACGGGGCCCCGCACAAGCGGCGGAGCAUGCGGAUUAAUUCGAUGCAACGCGUAGAACCUUACCUGGGUUUGACAUGGAUCGGGAGUGCUCAGAGAUGGGUGUGCCUCUUUUGGGGUCGGUUCACAGGUGGUGCAUGGCUGUCGUCAGCUCGUGUCGUGAGAUGUUGGGUUAAGUCCCGCAACGAGCGCAACCCUUGUUCACUGUUGCCAGCACGUUAUGGUGGGGACUCAGUGGAGACCGCCGGGGUCAACUCGGAGGAAGGUGGGGAUGACGUCAAGUCAUCAUGCCCCUUAUGUCCAGGGCUUCACGCAUGCUACAAUGGCUGGUACAGAGAGUGGCGAGCCUGUGAGGGUGAGCGAAUCUCGGAAAGCCGGUCUCAGUUCGGAUUGGGGUCUGCAACUCGACCUCAUGAAGUCGGAGUCGCUAGUAAUCGCAGAUCAGCAACGCUGCGGUGAGUACGUUCCCGGGGCU